AUGUACCACUCGUACACUCCGGUCCCGGCGCGCCGCCCGCGCCCACCUGACAGCUGCUCGCUACGUCUUGUUAGCC
Molecule: small RNA, 76 nt
Filed under: Xanthomonas euvesicatoria pv. eucalypti
Lineage: Bacteria; Pseudomonadati; Pseudomonadota; Gammaproteobacteria; Lysobacterales; Lysobacteraceae
Description: sX9 sRNA
Rfam family: Xanthomonas sRNA sX9
Source: RNAcentral